Molecule: ribosomal RNA, 314 nt
Filed under: uncultured bacterium
Lineage: Bacteria
Description: partial 16S ribosomal RNA
Rfam family: Bacterial small subunit ribosomal RNA
Source: RNAcentral
UUAUAAGAGACAGCAGUCGCCGCGGUAAUACGAAGGGUGCAAGCGUUAAUCGGAAUUACUGGGCGUAAAGCGUGCGUAGGCGGUUUGUUAAGUCUGUUGUGAAAUCCCCGGGCUCAACCUGGGAAUGGCAAUGGAUACUGGCAAGCUAGAGUGUGUCAGAGGAUGGUGGAAUUCCCGGUGUAGCGGUGAAAUGCGUAGAGAUCGGGAGGAACAUCAGUGGCGAAGGCGGCCAUCUGGGACAGCACUGACGCUGAGGCACGAAAGCGUGGGGAGCAAACAGGAUUAGAUACCCGUGUAGUCCCUGUCUCUUAUAA